UUAGUGGCGGACGGGUGAGUAAUGUAUGAGCAACCUGCCUUUAAGAGGGGGACAACAGUUGGAAACGACUGCUAAUACCGCAUAAAGCGGUCUGAUUGCAUGAUCGGACCGUCAAAGGAGCAAUCCGCUUAAAGAUGGGCUCAUAUCUGAUUAGGUAGUUGGAGAGGUAACGGCUCACCAAGCCGACGAUCAGUAGCCGGACUGAGAGGUUGACCGGCCACAUUGGAACUGAGAUACGGUCCAGACUCCUACGGGAGGCAGCAGUGGGGAAUAUUGGGCAAUGGGCGAAAGCCUGACCCAGCAACGCCGCGUGAAGGAAGAAGGUCUUCGGAUUGUAAACUUUUGUCUUAUGGGACGAUAAUGACGGUACCAUAGGAGGAAGCCACGACUAACUACGUGCCAGCAGUCGCGGUAAUACGUAGGUGGCAAGCGUUAUCCGGAAUUAUUGGGUGUAAAGGGUGCGUAGGCGGGAUGUAAAGUCAGAUGUGAAAUUCAGGAGCUCAACUUCUGAACUGCAUUUGAAACUUACGUUCUUGAGUGAAGUAGAGGCAAGCGGAAUUCCCAGUGUAGCGGUGAAAUGCGUAGAUAUUGGGAGGAACACCAGUGGCGAAGGCG
This 615-nucleotide ribosomal RNA is filed under the name uncultured Lachnospiraceae bacterium. RNAcentral's name for it is "bacterial SSU rRNA". It matches the Rfam family "Bacterial small subunit ribosomal RNA", at positions 92 to 723 of the family's 1533-position model. The record is from RNAcentral. Lineage: Bacteria; Bacillati; Bacillota; Clostridia; Lachnospirales; Lachnospiraceae.